This 1729-nucleotide long non-coding RNA is filed under the name Felis catus (domestic cat). RNAcentral's name for it is "lncRNA (ENSFCAG00000048762.1)". The record is from RNAcentral. Lineage: Eukaryota; Metazoa; Chordata; Mammalia; Carnivora; Felidae.
CAUGGAACAAAGUUACGUCUCCAUUUGCUGCAGACCUACCAUUUUCUCAGUAUCUUCUAUUUCGUUUUGUUAUUUCCUGCCCUGCCUCGCCAGGUCAUUGGGGAUGACCAGAACCCCCAAACAAGAAUGCCUAUGUCACCCCACCAAAGGUUUGUUUAUGGUCCCGAUUUUGCUUUCCUGAAUAAAAGGGCACAUCACAGUGGCUUUAGAAAGCAACAAAUUCCUCCUCCUCCGUCAGUCCCCGAGAUUUGAAUGAAGAAAGAGAGAUUAGGAAACCCUAGGGAAGAGAAUCUUUUUUAAAGGAUCUCCAGUUUCAACAUGUAAUUUCUCCCCUUUCUCAAAAUUAUCUCCUUCCCUCUGGUGGUGUUAAAGGGAAGAUUGGGGAAUAGCAGGAUCCCUACGAGGGGUGCUGAGCUGGUUUAAUGAAUUUUCCCUUGGCCAAUUGAGUUAAUCAGUAGGAAAAUAAGAGGUGUAUUUUCGUUUUUUCCCUUUUUGCCAGACUUCUCUGCUUCCCUUCGUACUCUCCAUUCAUUGUUCCUCAUCUCCACUCUAUAAAGCCAAAGAGCUUUCGUUAUGUGAUGAGUAGCAACCAACUAGCAAGAGAAAUCUGAGUUUGCAUCUCAGAGCCACCCUUUGAAGACUGUGAAGAUCCAGUGACAGCCGUAGAGACCCUGUGGAUUGCGGGAGCCAACACGCAGAGUAGGGCUUACGGGCUCCAGGACUUGGUGGGGAAUAACGCCCAGAAGCUGAAGGAAGAAAUGCAAGAAGGAAGGGAGAUCGGUGGAGAGAAGUGAUGGAGGAGCCCCAUAGAGGAGAAGGCAACAUGAAAAUGUAGCAAACAGAGAGAAAGGGAGGGAAGGAGUGACGGAGGGAGGGAGGGAGAGAGGUGCGGCCAGGAGCCAAUGUAUGCAGACAGCUGCCAGAAGCCGGAAGAGGCAAGGGAUGAAUUCUCCCCUCCAGCCUCUGGGGAGUGUGACCCUCCUGACACACUUGAUUUUGACUUCUGGCUUCCAGAACUCUAGAGAAGAUGUUUCCUUCAUUCAAAGCCACCCAAUGUCUGUGGUACUUUGUUAUGGCAGCCACAGGAAACUAGCAAGGUUUUGGUAUGAGGAAGUGGAACGUGGAGGAAAAGUUUAGGAGGGUCUAAACAGAAAGCCCUUAUCACUGAGCCUCAGCUGCUGAAGGAACCCUUUAAUCAUGACCGACCUUCUGGAAGAAUAAUAGAGAUUCAGGGCCAGACGUGGGUACUGAACAAGGAGGAAAUACUGCCAGCGGCUACCCUACCCCUUCCUGUUGGCUGUGAGUGGCUUUAAUCUGCUUCCACUGUCUUUUUGAAGUCUGGAGAUAUUUGAGUACAGCCUAAUUAGGUAGUUGUGGGCUGAGAGAGAAUUUAUUUUUGUCAAACACACAGCAUGGAGGGAAAUGUGUCAAUGAUGCUUAUGGAGCAAGCUGGCCUGUUUGGUACCUGUGGCUCUUGGGUCACCCUGGGUUUUCCUUGUAGUGACACCCUCUCAGAGUCCUUAUGGAUGGAAGGUCUAAGUGAAUCUUCUUGGCCCCCUUUCUCUGUGGCAGUAUAGAGUUUAGGUCUGAAACUGCAGUGAACUGGAUUUAAGUCUUGUCUCUGUAGGUUAUGAGCUGGGUGACAACCUUAAGCACAUGACACCCUCUCUGAGCCUCAGUUCUCCCAGCUUUACAAUGGGGAUAUUAAGCUUAGCCUAAUUAAAUGAAA